UACAGAGGGUGCGAGCGUUGUCCGGAAUCACUGGGCGUAAAGGGCUCGUAGGUGGCGGCCCAAGUCCAUGGUGAAAGCUCGAUGCUCAACAUCGAGUCGGCCACGGAUACUGGGUUGCUCGAGCACUGUAGGGGCAGAUGGAAUUCCCGGUGUAGCGGUGAAAUGCGUAGAGAUCGGGAAGAACAUCGGUGGCGAAAGCGCUCUACUGGACCGCAACUGACACUCAGGGACGAAAGCUAGGGGAGCGAAUGGG
RNAcentral lists this ribosomal RNA (253 nucleotides) under uncultured bacterium. RNAcentral describes it as "partial 16S ribosomal RNA". It matches the Rfam family "Bacterial small subunit ribosomal RNA", at positions 524 to 776 of the family's 1533-position model. The record is from RNAcentral.